CUUGCCAGGGAACUACGAGCCCCAGCUUAAAACCCAAAGGACUUGGCGGUGCUUUAGACCCCCCUAGAGGAGCCUGUUCUAGAACCGAUAACCCCCGUUUAACCUCACCCCCUCUUGUUUUCCCCGCCUAUAUACCGCCGUCGUCAGCUUACCCUGUGAAGGACUAAUAGUGAGCAUAAAUGGUACAACCUAAAACGUCAGGUCGAGGUGUAGCGUAUGAGGGGGAAAGAAAUGGGCUACAUUCACUGGACCAGUGAAAACGAACGAUGCCUUGAAAUGUGCAUCUGAAGGAGGAUUUAGCAGUAAGAGGGCACUAGAGAGCCCCCCUGAAACCGGCCCUGAAGCGCGCACACACCGCCCGUCACUCUCCCCAAGUGCCAGAAAAUAAGUAAAUAAGACAAUAAAUAAACAAAGGGGAGGCAAGUCGUAACAUGGUAAGUGUACCGGAAGGUGCACUUGGACAAAU
RNAcentral lists this ribosomal RNA (466 nucleotides) under Pseudaphya ferreri (Ferrer's goby). RNAcentral describes it as "partial 12S ribosomal RNA". It matches the Rfam family "Bacterial small subunit ribosomal RNA", at positions 868 to 1533 of the family's 1533-position model. Lineage: Eukaryota; Metazoa; Chordata; Actinopteri; Gobiiformes; Gobiidae. The record is from RNAcentral.